This 1082-nucleotide long non-coding RNA is filed under the name Gallus gallus (chicken). RNAcentral's name for it is "long non-coding RNA NONGGAT004021". The record is from RNAcentral. Lineage: Eukaryota; Metazoa; Chordata; Aves; Galliformes; Phasianidae.
GGUAUGUGCCUAAUCUCUACAAAAGACAACGUUAGUGCACUUCUAUGCUGCACCCUAGCGUGCUGAAACAAAGAAAAAUACAUUCAAAGAACUGCAUUCUUAGUCCUACCUGGGUGAGAACAGCUCUGGCUAUGAUGAACAUGACAUCCUGCUAAGGAUGCAGAGGCUAGCCCUGUACCCUGCCCUGCCUGCUGUGCAUGCUGCUGGACCAUCUGUCAGUGGAGCUCUCAGACCCUAUUCUUGAAGAAACAGCAGAUUGUGAUCAUCAAGGGUAGUGACAAAAAGAAAACAAGAAGUUGGGAAAUAGAGAUGACCAUGUCCAUAUUCGUAAAUUAUGACGUGAACGUUCCCCUGGAUGAGACCAUCUGCGCUAUUCAUUUAUAUGAGAACUAGCAAUAGCCAAGAAUUGCUCCUGGUCAUUAGUUUGGGUGCAGCCACAGUAGUCUUGAGACUGAGAGUUUAUCUUCAUUGUGGAUACAAGUUAUUCUGUGACAAUUGGUUUAUGUUGAGAUGGUCCUGAAAAUGCUGAAUUAAGGCGGAGGUACCUCUACCAUGGAAAAUCAUGUGUCACCAUGUGGGUAAAAAGGAAGGCUGAUUUCUUCCAUACUACUUAGCCCAAAUUAGGACUGCUAGAUGCAGCUGUUUAGGAGAAUCAUGGUGUUGCAACUUGUUAUCACUUCUAUCUGCUUUGGAUGCAGACAGCGGGAGAUGGCUGAAUCUGAUGAAACCCCCAUGAGCUGCACCCUUGAUGCAAUGCACAUUCCUUGCUCAUUGACUCACAGCUAUCAACUUUCCUUUACUCCCUCUUUGCCAUGUGUUUUGUAGCACUCUAAACACCUGAGGAGACAAUGUUUUGAGCAGACACUUGCUGUAUUUGCGCACAGUACUGCAUGUCUUCUCUCUGUCACUCUGGACAUACAUGGCUCAUGCAACAGAUCAGAAAUUAGGUAAGCAAAGAUAUAAAGUUAUUCUGCUUGUGCAGAAUGGAUAAUGAGAGUAAUGCAAUUAACAGUAUUAAUGUUAAUAACUAGAUAUCUGCUAUUAGCAGUCUCCCACCUUGAUCAUUUAUUAAACAGUGACAC